Oncorhynchus mykiss (rainbow trout) is the source of this 477-nucleotide non-coding RNA. The record is from RefSeq and is a predicted model, not a curated record. Lineage: Eukaryota; Metazoa; Chordata; Actinopteri; Salmoniformes; Salmonidae.
AUUGCAACAAUGACAUCUCUUUCUCACUCAUUUAACCAUUUAGAGAGUAAAAUAAUGCUCUCAACCACAUUUUAACCAGGUGCUCUAGACUAGAGCCUCCAUCGUCUGUACAGCAGCCUGAACGUUUGACAUCCCUACCUUUUAGGUUUCUCUUUGUGUCUAGUCCAUUGUACUGGCCUGUGUGAUGUGUAGGACUUUGAUGCAUUUUAUUGCUUUGUUUAUCGUUUAUCACCUGAAAAUUCAGUCUCAGCCAACAAUUGUUGAUAUCCUCCGUCCCUUACCUGACCCUUACAGACGCAGAUGCCGGACCCGAAGACGUUCAAGCAGCACUUUGAGAGCAAGCAUCCCAAAUCCCCAAUGCCCCCAGAGCUGGAUGAUGUUGAGGCUUAAAAGACCAACACACACAAUGGACCUACAGCUGGACACACGAUGACCACGAUUAGAGCGCUGCAACUGGAACUUAAUGGCGUCAAGAGA